CAGGUAUAUGGCUUCAUUUUAAAAAGCUAAAAUUAAAAGAUAGAUGAGACAACGGGCCAGGUUUUUUGUUUGUUUGUUUGUUUGUUUUGCUUUAAUUUCUACUUAUUUGCUAACCAUUCAUUACUUUUACAGCUAAAAAAUAAGUUUAGGAGAAAGAAUAUGGCUUAGUUUUGACUUAAUUGGUAUGUAAAGAAAACAAAAUUUUCAUUGGGCUUAGAGCUGAAAAACUUGGCUUUAUGGAUCUAGAAUAAACUGUUUUAACUGAAAUAAUUCUGUGCCUUGGCUUGUAAAUCAUCUUUUUUCUCCCUUGUGGUCUGAAACAGAUACAAGAAAGAUUGGAGACCUGUGUGCCUGGCAAUUGCCUUGUUGAAAGGAAGCCCUCAGCAAAAGUUGGUUGAUGAUUCAUUCUUUACCCUGCCCUCUGCCUCAGGAAGAUCAUCUUUUUGGACUCUAUCAUUUAACUCAUGUGCCCUCUGGCUUCCUGUAGGAUUUGGCCAACAAGGAGUCCCAGCAAGAGAAGGAAGAAGACAGGAAAGUGAGGUCAGAGUAUUCUUUUCCCCGGCUCCCUCUCUAGGAGUUUGUCUUGGACUGAGUGUUUCACUUGACUAACCGGUAUGUUCCUCUUCUUCGAGGUUCUAGUCAUCUCUCCCUCAUCUUAUCCCUUCAGUCUUCAGGUUCUUGC
Molecule: long non-coding RNA, 682 nt
Filed under: Papio anubis (olive baboon)
Lineage: Eukaryota; Metazoa; Chordata; Mammalia; Primates; Cercopithecidae
Description: lncRNA (ENSPANG00000040918.1)
Source: RNAcentral